GUGGGGAAUCUUGCGCAAUGGGCGAAAGCCUGACGCAGCCAUGCCGCGUGGAUGAUGAAGGUCUUAGGAUUGUAAAAUCCUUUCACCGGUGAAGAUAAUGACUGUAGCCGGAGAAGAAGCCCCGGUUAACUUCGUGCCAGCAGCCGCGGCAAUACGACGGGGGCUAGCGUUGCUCGGAUUUACUGGGCGUAAAGGGCGCGUAGGCGGACAUUUAAGUCAGGGGUGAAAUCCCGGGGCUCAACCUCGGAACUGCCUUUGAUACUGGGUAGCUUGAGUAUGAGAGAGGUGUGUGGAACUCCGAGUGUAGAGGUGAAAUUCGUAGAUAUUCGGAAGAACGCCAGUGGCGAAGGCGACACACUGGCUCAUUACUGACGCUGAGGCGCGAAAGCGUGGGGAGCAAACAGGAUUAGAUACCCUAGUAGUCC
RNAcentral lists this ribosomal RNA (425 nucleotides) under uncultured bacterium. Its description in RNAcentral is "partial 16S ribosomal RNA". It matches the Rfam family "Bacterial small subunit ribosomal RNA", at positions 354 to 796 of the family's 1533-position model. The record is from RNAcentral.